RNAcentral lists this ribosomal RNA (766 nucleotides) under Staphylococcus aureus. RNAcentral describes it as "bacterial SSU rRNA". It matches the Rfam family "Bacterial small subunit ribosomal RNA", at positions 28 to 776 of the family's 1533-position model. Lineage: Bacteria; Bacillati; Bacillota; Bacilli; Caryophanales; Staphylococcaceae. The record is from RNAcentral.
GAUGAACGCUGGCGGCGUGCCUAAUACAUGCAAGUCGAGCGAACGGAUGAGAAGCUUGCUUCUCUGAUGUUAGCGGCGGACGGGUGAGUAACACGUGGAUAACCCACCUAUAAGACUGGGAUAACUUCGGGAAACCGGAGCUAAUACCGGAUAAUAUUUUGAACCGCAUGGUUCAAAAGUGAAAGACGGUCUUGCUGUCACUUAUAGAUGGAUCCGCGCUGCAUUAGCUAGUUGGUAAGGUAACGGCUUACCAAGGCAACGAUGCAUAGCCGACCUGAGAGGGUGAUCGGCCACACUGGAACUGAGACACGGUCCAGACUCCUACGGGAGGCAGCAGUAGGGAAUCUUCCGCAAUGGGCGAAAGCCUGACGGAGCAACGCCGCGUGAGUGAUGAAGGUCUUCGGAUCGUAAAACUCUGUUAUUAGGGAAGAACAUAUGUGUAAGUAACUGUGCACAUCUUGACGGUACCUAAUCAGAAAGCCACGGCUAACUACGUGCCAGCAGCUGCGGUAAUACGUAGGUGGCAAGCGUUAUCCGGAAUUAUUGGGCGUAAAGCGCGCGUAGGCGGUUUUUUAAGUCUGAUGUGAAAGCCCACGGCUCAACCGUGGAGGGUCAUUGGAAACUGGAAAACUUGAGUGCAGAAGAGGAAAGUGGAAUUCCAUGUGUAGCGGUGAAAUGCGCAGAGAUAUGGAGGAACACCAGUGGCGAAGGCGACUUUCUGGUCUGUAACUGACGCUGAUGUGCGAAAGCGUGGGGAUCAAACAGG